Molecule: ribosomal RNA, 253 nt
Filed under: uncultured bacterium
Lineage: Bacteria
Description: partial 16S ribosomal RNA
Rfam family: Bacterial small subunit ribosomal RNA
Source: RNAcentral
UACGUAGGGUGCGAGCGUUGUCCCGAAUUACUGGGCAUAAAGAGCUUGUAGGUGGUUUGUCGCGUUGUUCGUGAAAUCUCACGGCUCAACUGUGAGCGUGCGGGCGAUACGGGCAGACUAGAGUACUGCAGGGGAGACUGGAAUUCCUGGUGUAGCGGUGGAAUGCGCAGAUAUCAGGAGGAACACCGGUGGCGAAGGCGGGUCUCUGGGCAGUAACUGACGCUGAGAAGCGAAAGCGUGGGGAGCGAACAGG